Molecule: long non-coding RNA, 911 nt
Organism: Zonotrichia leucophrys gambelii
Lineage: Eukaryota; Metazoa; Chordata; Aves; Passeriformes; Passerellidae
Exons: 3
Source: RefSeq, a predicted model, not a curated record
CAAGGAACGGGUCAGCCCAGAAAACAGGAGCCUGGCUCGGGAGAAGGUUUUAAAGAUGUUCGUGGGUUGCGGUGCGGGGCUCGCUGGUGGCUGCUGCUGGCCCUGAGUGACUUUGGGAACCCUGAACCACGGCGGGCUCCACCCUGGGAUUCGUGCUAACAGAGAGCUGCACUGCAGGGACUGCUCCAUGUUUUCCAUGUGAGGCCAGAGCACAAUGAACUACAGGGAGUCUCAUGGUGAGAGACAGAUCUUGCACCAGCACAGAGUUACAGCCAUUUCUAUGGAAAUUGAAGGUUUGAAGCCUGGGAGAAAGCAGCAACAAAUUUCCCAUCAGACAAGAAGAUGGCUCAAAGAUAAGAGCCCAGAGCAAAGCUUCAGGUGAUCUUCCCUUUGGAUCCCUCUCUGUGUGCAGAGGACACAGGACCAGGGGGAAUUCAACUAAGCAUUAUCAGAGCCAAUAUCAACAGCACAGAACGAUCUAUCUGCACACAGCCACAAGAACCAGCACCUGUUAACAACCUGAACCAUUCCAUCAUUCUUGUGUGCUGUUGGUGUGAUUGUUUCCAAGAACAGAGUGGAGAGGGAUGUGCUAAAGCUCUGGAGUUUGGGUAAUUAUUGUACGUCAGCAGCAGCUCCGUGUGAGCCAGGACAGCCGCCCACUCCCACACUUGGAGCUGUGUAAGACUAAACGGGCACAAAUGUGUUGAUAUAUUGUAGCCAGUGAUUGUAUAUGUGUCUGCUUCACAGGAAAUCGCUAUUUUUACAGUGGAAUGUUAUAAUCAUUGAAAGAAUUUUUUAAAAAAUCAAAAAAAGACCCCAAAGAAACCUUGUAGAAUUAAAAAUACACAGCUUGGAAAAGACUUAAGGUAAAACAACUGGUUGUUUGGGAAGGUCAGCCACCCUCUCAAGAA